CGUAGGUGGCUUGUUAAGUUGGAUGUGAAAGCCCCGGGCUCAACCUGGGAACUGCAUCCAAAACUGGCAAGCUAGAGUACGGUAGAGGGUGGUGGAAUUUCCUGUGUAGCGGUGAAAUGCGUAGAUAUAGGAAGGAACACCAGUGGCGAAGGCGACCACCUGGACUGAUACUGACACUGAGGUGCGAAAGCGUGGGGAGCAAACA
RNAcentral lists this ribosomal RNA (205 nucleotides) under uncultured bacterium. RNAcentral describes it as "partial 16S ribosomal RNA". It matches the Rfam family "Bacterial small subunit ribosomal RNA", at positions 570 to 774 of the family's 1533-position model. The record is from RNAcentral.